Unclassified non-coding RNA from Marmota marmota marmota (Alpine marmot), 226 nucleotides. NCBI's taxonomy places the organism in Eukaryota, Metazoa, Chordata, Mammalia, Rodentia, Sciuridae. The record is from Ensembl.
CCAGCUUUGGACAAAAGUCUGUAGCCAGUACAUUUGAAACUCCCCUUGCACAAGGGCUCACUGUAGCUGGGAGAAGGCAUUUUACUCAUUUGCUCUCUCCCUUCCUACCGUCAGCUGGUCCCUCUUCUCAGGUGUAGAUCACCUAUUAUCAUUUCACCUAUUUUGAUACUCUACUGAGGAGAGUCCCAGGAUGCAGCUGGGACAGGCCCACUAACAAGACAGCCCA